AGGCAGCAGUGGGGAAUAUUGGACAAUGGGCGCAAGCCUGAUCCAGCCAUACCGCGUGGGUGAAGAAGGCCUUCGGGUUGUGAAGCCCUUUUGUUGGGAAAGAAAUCCAGCCGGUUAAUACCUGGUUGGGAUGACGGUACCCAAAGAAUAAGCACCGGCUAACUUCGUGCCAGCAGCCGCGGUAAUACGUAGGGCGCAAGCGUUGUCCGGAAUUAUUGGGCGUAAAGAGCUCGUAGGCGGCUUGUCACGUCGGUUGUGAAAGCCCGGGGCUUAACCCCGGGCCUGCAGUCGAUACGGGCAGGCUAGAGUUCGGUAGGGGAGAUCGGAAUUCCUGGUGUAGCGGUGAAAUGCGCAGAUAUCAGGAGGAACACCGGUGGCGAAGGCGGAUCUCUGGGCCGAUACUGACGCUGAGGAGCGAAAGCGUGGGGAGCGAACAGGAUUAAAUACCCUGGUAGUCCACGCCGUAAACGGUGGGCACUAGGUGUGGGCAACAUUCCACGUUGUCCGUGCCGCAGCUAACGCAUUAAGUGCCCCGCCUGGGAGAGUACGGCCGCAAGGCUAAAACUCAAAUGAAUUGACGG
RNAcentral lists this ribosomal RNA (581 nucleotides) under uncultured Actinomycetes bacterium. Its description in RNAcentral is "bacterial SSU rRNA". It matches the Rfam family "Bacterial small subunit ribosomal RNA", at positions 346 to 916 of the family's 1533-position model. Lineage: Bacteria; Bacillati; Actinomycetota; Actinomycetes. The record is from RNAcentral.